Non-coding RNA from Rattus norvegicus (Norway rat), 388 nucleotides. The record is from RefSeq and is a predicted model, not a curated record. NCBI's taxonomy places the organism in Eukaryota, Metazoa, Chordata, Mammalia, Rodentia, Muridae.
CACAAAUCUGGCACUCUCAGGAGCCGCUCGUUCCUCUGGAGAAAUGCAACCUGGGCUUCUUCAACGCUGUGAGGCGCUGAGCUUAAUUUCAGUCACUGGCUGUUUGCGUUGUCCUUCUGCAUCCUGGGUAAUACACUUAAUGUUCUCCAUCUUUGCCGAGACUGAGAGGAUGAGGCUGCGGGAGAAUUCCAGAAAGGGACCCAUUUUAAACUUCCAGCUGAUGCUUCUCAACAGAACAGUGAAGUUGCAUCUUCCGAGAUGUGCCCAGCCCAUGAUUAUCUGUAAGAGUAAAGACUGAUAUGGAUGUCACUGGUGAACCCUGGAACAGAGGCAGAUGUCAGGGAGACAUCAAAGUCAACCAAAUUCAGUAGAGGUGACAGUAAUGGUG